GCUGAAUUAGUUUAGUGGCAAAACAAGAGCAUGGUAAGCUCUAGCCCCGAGUUCGAUUCUCAGAUUCAGCACCA
Molecule: transfer RNA, 74 nt
Filed under: Mycoplasmataceae bacterium
Lineage: Bacteria; Bacillati; Mycoplasmatota; Mollicutes; Mycoplasmatales; Mycoplasmataceae
Description: tRNA-Thr
Rfam family: tRNA
About the family: Transfer RNA (tRNA) molecules are approximately 80 nucleotides in length. Their secondary structure includes four short double-helical elements and three loops (D, anti-codon, and T loops).
Source: RNAcentral